UACGUAGGGGGCUAGCGUUGUCCGGAAUCAUUGGGCGUAAAGCGCGUGUAGGCGGUUCGGUAAGUCCGCUGUGAAAGUCGGGGGCUCAACCCUCGAAUGCCGGUGGAUACUGUCGGGCUAGAGUGCGGAAGAGGCGAGUGGAAUUCCUGGUGUAGCGGUGAAAUGCGCAGAUAUCAGGAGGAACACCAAUUGCGAAGGCAGCUCGCUGGGACGUAACUGACGCUGAGACGCGAAAGCGUGGGGAGCAAACAGG
RNAcentral lists this ribosomal RNA (253 nucleotides) under uncultured bacterium. RNAcentral describes it as "partial 16S ribosomal RNA". It matches the Rfam family "Bacterial small subunit ribosomal RNA", at positions 524 to 776 of the family's 1533-position model. The record is from RNAcentral.